RNAcentral lists this ribosomal RNA (456 nucleotides) under uncultured bacterium. Its description in RNAcentral is "bacterial SSU rRNA". It matches the Rfam family "Bacterial small subunit ribosomal RNA", at positions 340 to 786 of the family's 1533-position model. The record is from RNAcentral.
UACGGAAGGCAGCAGGGGGAAUAUUGCACAAUGGGCGAAAGCCUGAUGCAGCUAUGCCGCGUGUAUGAAGAAGGCCUUAGGGUUGUAAAGUACUUUCAUCGGGGAGGAAAAAACAAAACUAAUAAUUUUAUUUCUUGACGUUACCCGAAAAAGAAGCACCGGCUAACUCCGUGCCAGCAGCCGCGGUAAUACGGAGGGUGCUAGCGUUAAUCAGAAUUACUGGGCGUAAAGAGCACGUAGGUGGUUUUUUUAAAGUCAGAUGUGAAAUCCCUGGGCUUAACCUAGGAACUGCAUUUUGAAACUGAAAUACUAGAGUAUCGUAGAGGGAGGUAGAAUUCUAGGUGUAGCGGUGAAAUGCGUAGAUAUCUGGAGGAAUACCUGUGGCGAAAGCGGCCUCCUAAACGAAUACUGACACUGAGGGUGCGAAAGCGUGGGGAGCAAACAGGGAUUAAUACC